RNAcentral lists this ribosomal RNA (497 nucleotides) under uncultured bacterium. RNAcentral's name for it is "partial 16S ribosomal RNA". It matches the Rfam family "Bacterial small subunit ribosomal RNA", at positions 28 to 507 of the family's 1533-position model. The record is from RNAcentral.
GAUGAACGCUGGCGGCGUGCCUAAUACAUGCAAGUCGAGCGAACGGACGAGAAGCUUGCUUCUCUGAUGUUAGCGGCGGACGGGUGAGUAACACGUGGAUAACCUACCUAUAAGACUGGGAUAACUUCGGGAAACCGGCGCUAAUACCGGAUAAUAUUUUGAACCGCAUGGUUCAAAAGUGAAAGACGGUCUUGCUGCCACUUAUAGAUGGAUCCGCGCUGCAUUAGCUAGUUGGUAAGGUAACGGCUUACCAAGGCAACGAUGCAUAGCCGACCUGAGAGGGUGAUAGGCCACACGGGAACUGAGACACGGUCCAGACUACUACGGGAGGCAGCAGUAGGGAAUCUUCCGCAAAGGGCGAAAGCAUGACGGAGCAACGCCGCGUGAGUGAUGAAGGUCUUCGGAUCGUAAAACUCUGUUAUUAGGGAAGAACAUAUGUGUAAGUAACUGUGCACAUCGUGACGGUACCUAAUCAGAAAGCCACGGCUAACUACGUG